AUUGAACGCUGGCGGCAGGCCUAACACAUGCAAGUCGAGCGGAAGAAGGGAGCUUGCUCCUGGAUUCAGCGGCGGACGGGGGAGUAAUGCCUAGGAAUCUGCCUGGCAGUGGGGGAUAACGUCCGGAAACGGGCGCUGAUACUGCAUACGACGUGAUGGAGCAAGUGGGGGGGGGUCGGACCGCACGGGCGGAGGGGGGCCGAGGCGGGAUUAGCUAGUUGGUGGGGUAAGGGCCUACCUAGGCGAGGAUCCGUUGCUGGUCUGAGAGGAUGAGAAGUCGCACUGGAACUGGGCCACGGUCCAGGCUCCUACGGGAGGGACCAGUGGGGAAUGUUAGACAGUGGGCGAGAGCCUGAUCCAGCCGGGCCGCGUGUGUGAAGACGGUCUUCGGAUUGUGAAGCACUUUAAGUUGGGAGGAAGCGCAGUAAGUUAUUACCUUGCUGUUUUGACGUUACCAACAGAAUAAGCACCGGCUAACCUCGUG
RNAcentral lists this ribosomal RNA (484 nucleotides) under uncultured bacterium. RNAcentral's name for it is "partial 16S ribosomal RNA". It matches the Rfam family "Bacterial small subunit ribosomal RNA", at positions 28 to 507 of the family's 1533-position model. The record is from RNAcentral.